This 316-nucleotide ribosomal RNA is filed under the name uncultured bacterium. RNAcentral's name for it is "bacterial SSU rRNA". It matches the Rfam family "Bacterial small subunit ribosomal RNA", at positions 30 to 341 of the family's 1533-position model. The record is from RNAcentral.
AUUGAACGCUGGCGGCAUGCCUUACACAUGCAAGUCGAACGGCAGCACGGGAGCAAUCCUGGUGGCGAGUGGCGAACGGGUGAGUAAUAUAUCGGAACGUGCCCAGUCGUGGGGGAGUAACGUAGCGAAAGACUACGCUAAUACCGCAUACGAUCUAUGGAUGAAAGACGGGGGAGUCGCAAGACCUCGCGCGAUUGGAGCGGCCGAUAUCAGAUUAGGUAGUUGGUGGGGUAAAAGGACCUACCAAGCCUUCGAUCUGUAGCUGGUCUGAGAGGACGACCAGCACACUGGAACUGAGACACGGUCCAGACUCCUA